RNAcentral lists this ribosomal RNA (253 nucleotides) under uncultured bacterium. RNAcentral describes it as "partial 16S ribosomal RNA". It matches the Rfam family "Bacterial small subunit ribosomal RNA", at positions 524 to 776 of the family's 1533-position model. The record is from RNAcentral.
UACGUAGGCAGCAAGCGUUGUUCGGAGUUACUGGGCGUAAAGGGUGUGUAGGCGGUUCUCUAAGUCUGGUGUGAAAUCUCCCGGCUCAACUGGGAGGGUGCGCCGGAAACUGGGGGGCUAGAGUGCGGGAUGGGAGAGUGGAAUUCCUGGUGUAGCGGUGAAAUGCGUAGAUAUCAGGAGGAACACCUGUGGUGUAGACGGCUCUCUGGACCGCAACUGACGCUGAGACACGAAAGCGUGGGUAGCAAACAGG